CUCGGGGUUGGGGGGGUUCCUCAGCCUGGAUUGAGAGAGGGCGCAGGCCAGGCUGAGGGACCCCACUGGUGCAUG
This 75-nucleotide microRNA precursor is filed under the name Myotis davidii. RNAcentral's name for it is "mir-9193 microRNA precursor family". It matches the Rfam family "mir-9193 microRNA precursor family". Lineage: Eukaryota; Metazoa; Chordata; Mammalia; Chiroptera; Vespertilionidae. The record is from Rfam by way of RNAcentral.